CCUACGGGUGGCAGCAGUGAGGAAUAUUGGUCAAUGGACGAGCGUCUGAACCAGCCAAGUCGCGUGAAGGAUGACUGCCCUAUGGGUUGUAAACCUCUUUUAUCUGGGAACAACAUGUUCUACGUGUGGGCUUUUGUAUGUACCAUAUGAAUAAGGAUCGGCUAACUCCGUGCCCGCAGCCGCGGUAAUACGGAGGAUUCGAGCGUUAUCCGGAGUUAUUGGGUUUAAAGGGAGCGUAGGUGGAUUGUUCAGUCAGUUGUGAAAGUUUGCGGCUCAACCGUAAAAUUGCAGUUGAAACUGGCAGUCUUGAGUACAGGAGAGGUAGGCGGAAUUCGUGGUGUAGCGGUGAAAUGCUUAGAUAUCACGAAGAACUCCGAUUGCGAAGGCAGCUCACUGGACUGCAACUGACGCUGAGGCACGAAAGUGUGGGUAUCGAACAGGAUUAGAUACCCGGGUAGUC
Molecule: ribosomal RNA, 460 nt
Filed under: uncultured bacterium
Lineage: Bacteria
Description: partial 16S ribosomal RNA
Rfam family: Bacterial small subunit ribosomal RNA
Source: RNAcentral